RNAcentral lists this ribosomal RNA (575 nucleotides) under uncultured bacterium. RNAcentral's name for it is "bacterial SSU rRNA". It matches the Rfam family "Bacterial small subunit ribosomal RNA", at positions 47 to 614 of the family's 1533-position model. The record is from RNAcentral.
GUUUACACAUGAAGUCGAACGGAAACGAAAAUAGCUUGCUAUUUGGCGUCGAGUGGCGAACGGGUGAGUAACGCGUAGGAAUCUACCCAGUAGAGGGGGAUAGCCCGAAGAAAUUCGGAUUAAUACCGCAUAAUCUCUACGGAGUAAAGAAGGCCUCUUUACAAUGCUUUUACUAUUGGAUGAGCCUGCGUUAGAUUAGUUAGUUGGUAGGGUAAAAGCCUACCAAGGCGACGAUCUAUAGCUGGUUUUACGAGAAUGAUCAGCCACACUGGAACUGAGACACGGUCCAGACUCCUACGGGAGGCAGCAGUGAAGAAUAUUGGACAAUGGGGGAAACCCUGAUCCAGCAAUGUUGCGUGUGUGAAGAAGGUCCGAGGAUUGUAAAGCACUUUCAGUAAGCAAGAAAAAUGUAAAUCUAAUAGAUUUGCAUGUUGACCACUUAUAGAAGAAGCACCGGCUAACUCCGUGCCAGCAGCCGCGGUAAUACGGAGGGUGCGAGCGUUAAUCGGAAUUACUGGGCGUAAAGGGUAAGUAGGCGGUUUAUAAAGUCACAUGUGAAAGCCCUAGGCUUAACC